This 780-nucleotide ribosomal RNA is filed under the name Acinetobacter sp. 2P2B10. Its description in RNAcentral is "bacterial SSU rRNA". It matches the Rfam family "Bacterial small subunit ribosomal RNA", at positions 56 to 830 of the family's 1533-position model. Lineage: Bacteria; Pseudomonadati; Pseudomonadota; Gammaproteobacteria; Moraxellales; Moraxellaceae. The record is from RNAcentral.
UGCAAGUCGAGCGGAGAGAUGUAGCUUGCUACUGAUCUUAGCGGCGGACGGGUGAGUAAUGCUUAGGAAUCUGCCUAUUAGUGGGGGACAACAUUCCGAAAGGAAUGCUAAUACCGCAUACGCCCUACGGGGGAAAGCAGGGGAUCAUUAGACCUUGCGCUAAUAGAUGAGCCUAAGUCGGAUUAGCUAGUUGGUGGGGUAAAGGCCUACCAAGGCGACGAUCUGUAGCGGGUCUGAGAGGAUGAUCCGCCACACUGGGACUGAGACACGGCCCAGACUCCUACGGGAGGCAGCAGUGGGGAAUAUUGGACAAUGGGGGGAACCCUGAUCCAGCCAUGCCGCGUGUGUGAAGAAGGCCUUUUGGUUGUAAAGCACUUUAAGCGAGGAGGAGGCUACUCUGGUUAAUACCCAGGGAUAGUGGACGUUACUCGCAGAAUAAGCACCGGCUAACUCUGUGCCAGCAGCCGCGGUAAUACAGAGGGUGCGAGCGUUAAUCGGAUUUACUGGGCGUAAAGCGUACGUAGGCGGCUUUUUAAGUCGGAUGUGAAAUCCCUGAGCUUAACUUAGGAAUUGCAUUCGAUACUGGGAAGCUAGAGUAUGGGAGAGGAUGGUAGAAUUCCAGGUGUAGCGGUGAAAUGCGUAGAGAUCUGGAGGAAUACCGAUGGCGAAGGCAGCCAUCUGGCCUAAUACUGACGCUGAGGUACGAAAGCAUGGGGAGCAAACAGGAUUAGAUACCCUGGUAGUCCAUGCCGUAAACGAUGUCUACUAGCCGUUGGGGCC